UACGUAGGAUGCAAGCGCUAUCUGGAAUGAUUGGGCGUAAAGCGUCUGUAGGUGGCUUUUCAAGUCCGCCGUCAAAUCCCAGGGCUCAACCCUGGACAGGCGGUGGAAACUACCAUGCUGGAGUACGGUAGGGGCAGAGGGAAUUUCCGAUGGAGCGGUGAAAUGCAUUGAGAUCAGAAAGAACACCAACGGCAAAAGCACUCUACUGGGCCGACACUGACACUGAGAGACGAAAGCUAAGGGAGCAAAUGGG
This 253-nucleotide ribosomal RNA is filed under the name uncultured bacterium. RNAcentral describes it as "partial 16S ribosomal RNA". It matches the Rfam family "Bacterial small subunit ribosomal RNA", at positions 524 to 776 of the family's 1533-position model. The record is from RNAcentral.